CAGGAUGCUCAGUUAAAUUUGAACUUUGAAUAAAAAAAUGAUGUUUUAUGUAGCACAAGUAUAUCCCAUGCAAUAUUUGGGACGUACUUAUACUAAAAAAAAAUUUGUUGUUUAUCUGACAUUCAAAUUUAGCUGGCAUCCUGU
Molecule: microRNA precursor, 144 nt
Filed under: Dasypus novemcinctus (nine-banded armadillo)
Lineage: Eukaryota; Metazoa; Chordata; Mammalia; Cingulata; Dasypodidae
Description: miRNA (ENSDNOG00000043448.1)
Rfam family: mir-1302 microRNA precursor family (bases 47-98)
Source: RNAcentral